Molecule: ribosomal RNA, 449 nt
Filed under: uncultured bacterium
Lineage: Bacteria
Description: bacterial SSU rRNA
Rfam family: Bacterial small subunit ribosomal RNA
Source: RNAcentral
AGAGUUUGAUCCUGGCUCAGAACGAACGCUGGCGGCAUGCCUAACACAUGCAAGUCGAACGCCCCGCAAGGGGAGUGGCGCACGGGUGAGUAACGCGUGGGAACCUGCCCUGGAGUGGGGGAUAACCCGGCGAAAGCCGGGCUAAUACCGCAUACGACCUGAGGGUGAAAGAUUUAUCGCUCUAGGAGGGGCCCGCGUCGGAUUAGCUAGUUGGUGAGGUAACGGCUCACCAAGGCGACGAUCCGUAGCUGGUCUGAGGGGAUGAUCAGCCACACUGGGACUGAGACACGGCCCAGACUCCUACGGGAGGCAGCAGUGGGGAAUAUUGGACAAUGGGGGCAACCCUGAUCCAGCAAUGCCGCGUGAGUGAUGAAGGCCUUAGGGUUGUAAAGCUCUUUCGCCCACGACGAUGAUGACGGUAGUGGGAGAAGAAGCCCCGGCUAACUUCG